AUUCCUGUGGCGGAACUGGCAGACGCGCCCGCCUUGCAAGCGGGUGUCCUUGGACGUACGGGUUCGAUUCCCGUCAGGCUCAUCA
Molecule: transfer RNA, 85 nt
Filed under: Bacillus thuringiensis
Lineage: Bacteria; Bacillati; Bacillota; Bacilli; Caryophanales; Bacillaceae
Description: tRNA_Ala_TGC
Rfam family: tRNA (bases 4-78)
About the family: Transfer RNA (tRNA) molecules are approximately 80 nucleotides in length. Their secondary structure includes four short double-helical elements and three loops (D, anti-codon, and T loops). Further hydrogen bonds mediate the characteristic L-shaped molecular structure. tRNAs have two regions of fundamental functional importance: the anti-codon, which is responsible for specific mRNA codon recognition, and the 3' end, to which the tRNAs corresponding amino acid is attached (by aminoacyl-tRNA synthetases). tRNAs cope with the degeneracy of the genetic code in two manners: having more than one tRNA (with a specific anti-codon) for a particular amino acid; and 'wobble' base-pairing, i.e. permitting non-standard base-pairing at the 3rd anti-codon position.
Source: RNAcentral